CCUACGGGAGGCAGCAGUAGGGAAUGUUCGGCAAUGGGGGGAACACUGACCGAGCAACGCCGCGUGAAAGAAGAAGUUAUUCGUAAUGUAAAGUUCUUUUAACAGGGAAGAAAGAGAAAUUUGACGGUACCUGAAGAAUAAGCUCCGGCUAACUACGUGCCAGCAGCCGCGGGAAUACGUAGGGAGCGUGCGUUAUCCGGAAUGAUGGGGCGUAAGGGGUGCGUAGAUGGCAUAGUAAGUCUUUUGUAAAAAUGCUGGGCUCAACCCAGUAGGGCAAAAGAUACUGCAAAGCUAGAGUAUGACAGAGGCAAGUGGAACUACAUGUGUAGCGGUGAAAUGCGUAGAUAUAUGUAAGAACACCAGUGGCGAAGGCGGCUUGCUGGGUCGAUACUGACAUUGAGGCACGAAAGCGUGGGGAGCGAACAGGAUUAGAUACCCGAGUAGUC
RNAcentral lists this ribosomal RNA (446 nucleotides) under uncultured bacterium. RNAcentral's name for it is "partial 16S ribosomal RNA". It matches the Rfam family "Bacterial small subunit ribosomal RNA", at positions 338 to 795 of the family's 1533-position model. The record is from RNAcentral.